Molecule: non-coding RNA, 622 nt
Filed under: Pan troglodytes (chimpanzee)
Lineage: Eukaryota; Metazoa; Chordata; Mammalia; Primates; Hominidae
Source: RNAcentral
CAGUCCGCGGCUUGUGUGCCGCGAGGAGAGGCGCAAAGGGUGACACACCAGGAAAGCAGGUAGCAGGCAAGAGUGUGGUUAUCGUUGGACCAGGAUUCAGGAUCUGACCGAGUAGCUGACUCUUAAUCCAGUUUGUGUUGAUCACCAGGAGGAUCUGGACCUCAGUGUUAUCACAUCUAAAGCUAUAAUCACAUCCCUGUUAAGCCUUCCUGAGAUCACACCAAAUGUCCUUGAUGGGAAUUGUAAACAACCCUUACUUCUGGUUUCUAAUGAUAUUCCAGGAAAGGAGCCUAACUAGAGUCAGUGAUAUGCCAACUCCACCUUUGCCUUCCACCAUGUUUGGAAGCUCCCUGAGGCCUCACCAGGAGCAGAUGCUCGUCCCAUGCUUCCUAUAAGCCUGCAGAACUGGAAAAGAAAGCUGGAUAAAGUAUUUAUAGAAGAUAGAGGACCUGUGGUGGCUCAUGCCUGUAAUCCAAGGUGGAAGGAUUGCUUGAGGCCAGAAGUUCAAGACCAGUCCAAGCAACAUAGCAAGGCCCCAUCUCUACAAAAAAAUGAAAAUAAAAUUAGCCGAGCGUGAUGGCUCAUGCCUGUAGUUCUAGCUUCCAGAGAGGCUGAGGCAGGA